UACGUAGGGGGCUAGCGUUGUCCGGAAUCAUUGGGCGUAAAGCGCGUGUAGGCGGCUCGAUAAGUCUGCUGUGAAAGUCCAGGGCUCAACCCUGGAAAGCCGGUGGAAACUGUCAAGCUUGAGUCCGGAAGAGGCGAGUGGAAUUCCUGGUGUAGCGGUGAAAUGCGCAGAUAUCAGGAGGAACACCAAUGGCGAAGGCAGCUCGCUGGGACGGUACUGACGCUGAGACGCGAAAGCGUGGGGAGCAAACAGG
RNAcentral lists this ribosomal RNA (253 nucleotides) under uncultured bacterium. RNAcentral describes it as "partial 16S ribosomal RNA". It matches the Rfam family "Bacterial small subunit ribosomal RNA", at positions 524 to 776 of the family's 1533-position model. The record is from RNAcentral.